AGUCGAGGACGGACCGGAAGUUAGGCCGGAAGCAGGAAGACACUAAUGUAGCUAGCUGGUAGCUAACCAUGCAUAUAUUAUUAAUUGUACCGGUAAAACAUUUCAAUAUUUUCAAACUGUAACGUUAGUAACAAGCUUGUGUCCCGUAGAGCCUUCUGCUGUUUUGCGGUAAUGCGGAUUGACAGAAGAAUCUAACCCGGAAGCUGGCCUGGAAGAAAGAAGAUGCUUAUGUUGAUAGCUAGUUAGCUUAGUUUAGUAGUGUCUGAAAUGUGUCUGAUAUCAUUUGAUGUCGUUUAAAUUAGACUUGGAUUUUGCCCAACUCGGACUAUAUACGUGGAGCUAGCGAUAUUUUCAACGACCAUUUCAUAUAGUUUUGCUAUCUGGUCUAGGAAAGUAAAUUAUCUAGCUACUGUUGGCCUAGCUAGUUAGCUAUCUGAGUUGUAUGGGAAGUAAUCCGCUAGAUAAUGUGACCUCGUGGUGAACUGUCGGGGAUUUGAGAAGAAUCUGCUUUAGUUUAAUUCAGUGACCCAACUCUUUUUCAUAGGAAACUAUUUCUGAAGAAAUCACGAUGGAUGAGGAUUCUGCUGACCCAUCCAACCCCCCUCUCUCCUGCUCCACUGAACCCAACCCUCCAGACCCUCCUGACUCUAACCAUAGAGACAUCGACACCUGCAGUGAAAUACCCAGAUUUAACAUUGUAGUCAAGGAGGAGGAAGACUGGGACGUGGAUGAUACUGUCGAACGAGGAGCGAGUUCUAACUCCAGCUCUAGUGAUGGGGCACCAGCAGAACCUGAACAGCACCAGGAGAAUCCUAGAGCUAAGAAGUUUUGGCGCUGCCCAGAAUGUGGAAUAGAGAUCGCUCACCCAUCUAAUUUCAACAGACACCUGAGAACACACACAAACCUUGCUAAGGAGUCUUCCGUCUGUCCAAUAUGUGGGAAAGAUUUUGUUCACCCCUCCAAACUGAAGAGACAUUUCCGAACACAUACAGGAGAGAAGCCUUACCAGUGCUCUGUGUGCGGGAAGCAAUUCACACUAAAGCCCCACCUGGAAAGACAUCAGAUGACCCACCCUGGAGAGAAACAGCCAGACGCGACAAAGAAGCACCCGUGCUCCGAUUGUGGAAAGGAAUGUUUCUCUGCAUAUGAACUGAAGAUGCACAUGAGAAAGCACACAGGGAGAGACCUCACCAGUGCUCCUACUGCGAGAUGAGCUUUGGCUGUAAGGAACUCUAUCGAGACACGUACGACGCCAUACAGGAGCACCCACACCGAAACCUUACCAAUGCUCACAGUGUGGGAAGAGAUACGAGUCACCAUCGAGGCUCAGGCAGCAUCAGACUGUGCACACUGGAGAGAAACCUUACGAGUGCUCUGAUUGCGGGAGGGGUUUCGCUUCGACCGAAGGUCUUCGCAAACGUCAAUGCAGCCAUGCCAGUAACCAUAGCAACCAGUGUACACUGGGAAUUGCAGAUACGGCAUCAUCAGGCAGUCAAACUAUGAAUAUCAAGAUCGAAGACGAGGAACAGGAGCUGGCAAUUAAUGUCAAAGAGGAGGAGGAGGAAAUUGUUGUUUUUGUCAAUGCUGAUAGAGAGAAACCUUACCGGUGUACCUCCUGUAAAAAUACCUUUGUUCACCGUAGCUCUCUAGCAAGACACAAACAAUCCCACACUAGUGUCGCACAAUACAGCUGCUCAGAAUGUGGGAAGGAAUUCAGCCAAUCGUGGACUUUCAAGAUACACAUGCAACAGCACACCGGAGAGAAACCACACCACUGCUGUCGGUGUGAUAAGAGUGUCUCAGCUUCACCACUCCACAAAAGACACCAGCGAGUUCACACUAAAGUGAAACCUUACCCCUGCUCUCUCUGCAGAAAUAAAUUAUCCUCGUCGGCAAAUCAGUCCUGUCUCCAUGCUGGAGAAGGAUCUGUGGCUAGCCUGAGCCAAGCUCCUGGACAGGGAUCACAGCAGCAGGUGUCUGCAGCGGUAGAGGAGUCUGUUGUACUGGAUGUCAAAGUGAAAGAGGAGGAGGAGGAUCCUGCUUUCGCAGAGAGACCUGACCACUGCUCUGAGAGUGAAGCGAGUCCCUCUACAACAGGACUACCUGAACAACACCAGGGGAAUCACACAGCUAAGAAGAUUCACUGCUGUUCAGUGUGUGGAAAAAAACUGUCACAAGUUAUCAAAACUACAAAUACACAUGAGAACUCACACAGGAGAAAAACCUUACUCCUGCUCUGUCUGUGGGAAGCAAUUCAGUGACAAAGGAAACCUGAAAAACACCAGACGGUGCACACAGGAGAGAAGCAGUACAGUUGUUCCGUGUGUGGGGGAGUUUCUCUUCAUUGUCAAAUCUUACCAAACACCAGAUAACACACACAGGAGAGAGUCAAGUGUCUGUAGAAGAGUGUGGUUUUACACCACCAUUGGUUAUCAUAGUGAAAGAGGAGGACGAGGAUCCUGCUUUUGCAGAGAGACAUGACCACUGCUCUGACAGUGAAGGGAGUCCCUCUACAUCAGGACUACCUGAACAACACCAGGGGAAUCACACAGCUAAGAAAAUUCACUGCUGUUCAGUGUGCGGACAAGACUGCAAA
Molecule: long non-coding RNA, 2596 nt
Organism: Oncorhynchus tshawytscha (Chinook salmon)
Lineage: Eukaryota; Metazoa; Chordata; Actinopteri; Salmoniformes; Salmonidae
Exons: 5
Source: RefSeq, a predicted model, not a curated record